GCGCGAAAACUUUACAAUGCUGGCAACAGCGAUAAGGGAACCUCGAGUGCCAGGUUACAAAUCUGGCUGUCGAGAUGCCUAAAAAGCAUUUCAUAGCAAGGGCCGGGCAAGACCGGUGCCAGCCGCCGCGGUAACACCGGCGGCUCGAGUGGUAACCGUUAUUAUUGGGUCUAAAGGGUCUGUAGCCGGCCGGAUAAGUCUCUUGAGAAAUCUGGCAGCUUAACUGUCAGGCUUUCAGGAGAUACUGUCUGGCUCGAGGCCGGGAGAGGUGAGAGGUACUUCAGGGGUAGGGGUGAAAUCUUGUAAUCCUUGAAGGACCACCAGUGGCGAAGGCGUCUCACCAGAACGGACCUGACGGCAAGGGACAAAAGCUAGGGGCACGAACCG
RNAcentral lists this ribosomal RNA (387 nucleotides) under uncultured bacterium. Its description in RNAcentral is "bacterial SSU rRNA". It matches the Rfam family "Archaeal small subunit ribosomal RNA", at positions 339 to 726 of the family's 1478-position model. The record is from RNAcentral.